GUGACGAAGCGACGCCGCGUGUGGGAAGAAGGCCUUCGGGUUGUAAACCACUGUUGGGAGUUAGGAAAUGUGGAGGUGUUAAUAGCGCCUUCAUUUGACUAAAGCUCCAGAGGAAGCCACGGCUAACUCUGUGCCAGCAGCCGCGGUAAUACAGAGGUGGCAAGCGUUGUUCGGAAUUAUUGGGCGUAGAGAGCACGUAGGCGGCUCUGCAAGUCAGCUGUGAAAGCCUUCUGCUUAACGGAAGAACGGCAGUUGAAACUACAGGGCUUGAGUGCGGGAGGGGAGAGUGGAACUUCUGGUGGAGCGGUGAAAUGCGUAGAUAUCAGAAGGAACGCCGGCGGCGAAAGCGGCUCUCUGGUCCGUAACUGACGCUGAGUGUGCGAAAGCUAGGGGAGCAAACGGGAUUAGAUACCCCGGUAGUCCUAGCCGUAAACGAU
This 437-nucleotide ribosomal RNA is filed under the name uncultured Planctomycetota bacterium. RNAcentral's name for it is "bacterial SSU rRNA". It matches the Rfam family "Bacterial small subunit ribosomal RNA", at positions 383 to 810 of the family's 1533-position model. Lineage: Bacteria; Pseudomonadati; Planctomycetota. The record is from RNAcentral.